GACGAACGCUGGCGGCGUGCUUAACACAUGCAAGUCGAACGGAAAGGCCCUGCUUUUGUGGGGUGCUCGAGUGGCGAACGGGUGAGUAACACGUGAGUAACCUGCCCUUGACUUUGGGAUAACUUCAGGAAACUGGGGCUAAUACCGGAUAGGAGCUCCUGCUGCAUGGUGGGGGUUGGAAAGUUUCGGCGGUUGGGGAUGGACUCGCGGCUUAUCAGCUUGUUGGUGGGGUAGUGGCUUACCAAGGCUUUGACGGGUAGCCGGCCUGAGAGGGUGACCGGCCACAAGGUGACUGAGAUACGGACCAGACUCGUACGGGAGGCAGCAGUGGGGAACAUGGCAGAAUGGGGGGGAGCCUGAUACAGCAACGCCGCGUGCGGGAUGACGGCUUUCGGGUUGUAAACCGCUGUCGCCUGUGACGAAGCGUGAGUGACGGUAAUGGGUAAAGAAGCACCGGCUAACUACGUG
Molecule: ribosomal RNA, 468 nt
Filed under: uncultured bacterium
Lineage: Bacteria
Description: partial 16S ribosomal RNA
Rfam family: Bacterial small subunit ribosomal RNA
Source: RNAcentral